This 77-nucleotide transfer RNA is filed under the name Alphaproteobacteria bacterium. RNAcentral describes it as "tRNA-Arg". It matches the Rfam family "tRNA". From Rfam's summary of the family: Transfer RNA (tRNA) molecules are approximately 80 nucleotides in length. Their secondary structure includes four short double-helical elements and three loops (D, anti-codon, and T loops). The record is from RNAcentral. RNAcentral also lists the same sequence under 1 other name. Lineage: Bacteria; Pseudomonadati; Pseudomonadota; Alphaproteobacteria.
GGAUUCGUAGCUCAGUUGGAUAGAGCAACCCCCUUCUAAGGGGUAGGUCGUAGGUUCGACUCCUACCGAAUCCGCCA